GCGGAUGUGGUGGAAUUGGUAGACACACUGGAUUUAGGUUCCAGCGCCGAGAGGCGUAAGAGUUCGAGUCUCUUCAUCCGCACCA
Molecule: transfer RNA, 85 nt
Filed under: Pseudomonas sp. BCA13
Lineage: Bacteria; Pseudomonadati; Pseudomonadota; Gammaproteobacteria; Pseudomonadales; Pseudomonadaceae
Also listed under: 3 other names
Description: tRNA-Leu
Rfam family: tRNA
About the family: Transfer RNA (tRNA) molecules are approximately 80 nucleotides in length. Their secondary structure includes four short double-helical elements and three loops (D, anti-codon, and T loops).
Source: RNAcentral